Molecule: non-coding RNA, 97 nt
Organism: Haemonchus contortus (barber pole worm)
Lineage: Eukaryota; Metazoa; Nematoda; Chromadorea; Rhabditida; Trichostrongylidae
Source: Rfam
AGGUGUGGUCCGGCGCUGUUGGGUUAUCGUUACGUAGAACUCUGUCCUCACACUUCUUCUGCCCCUCAAUUCCCAUCAGCAUCAACUUGACCACAAC